AUCAUCACUAACAUGAUCAUACCAGAAAAGAACCGCCGUGAGAUAUCCAAGUACCUCUUUCAAGAGGGUAUUUGCUACGCCAAGAAAGAUUACAACUUGGCGAAACACCCAGAAACCGAUGUUCCGAAUCUUCAAGUGAUAAAGCUGAUGCAAUCGUUCAAAUCCAAGGAAUCCCUUAAACUUUUGCUUGGAUGCAUUAUUACUGGUAACUUACAAAUGAUGGCAUCGAGUUUUGAG
Molecule: long non-coding RNA, 237 nt
Organism: Hibiscus syriacus
Lineage: Eukaryota; Viridiplantae; Streptophyta; Magnoliopsida; Malvales; Malvaceae
Exons: 4
Source: RefSeq, a predicted model, not a curated record